GCGACUGGGCCGACGUCGCAUGCUCCCGGCCGCCAUGGCGGCCGCGGGAAUUCGAUUCAAAUGCCUGACGGAGCAACGCCGCGUGAGGGACGAAGGCCUCUGGGCUGUAAACCUCUUUUCUCAAGGAAGAAGAUAUGACGGUACUUGAGGAAUAAGCCACGGCUAAUUCCGUGCCAGCAGCCGCGGUAAUACGGGAGUGGCAAGCGUUAUCCGGAAUUAUUGGGCGUAAAGCGUCCGCAGGCGGCUUUUCAAGUCUGCUGUUAAAACGUGGAGCUUAACUCCAUCAUGGCAGUGGAAACUGAAAGGCCUGAGUAUGGUAGGGGCAGAGGGAAUUCCCGGUGUAGCGGUGAAAUGCGUAGAUAUCGGGAAGAACACCAGUGGCGAAGGCGCUCUGCUGGGCCAUUACUGACGCUCAUGGACGAAAGCCAGGGGAGCGAAAG
RNAcentral lists this ribosomal RNA (440 nucleotides) under uncultured cyanobacterium. Its description in RNAcentral is "bacterial SSU rRNA". It matches the Rfam family "Bacterial small subunit ribosomal RNA", at positions 312 to 774 of the family's 1533-position model. Lineage: Bacteria; Bacillati; Cyanobacteriota. The record is from RNAcentral.